Long non-coding RNA from Chelonia mydas (Green sea turtle), 4004 nucleotides. RefSeq lists it as uncharacterized. Lineage: Eukaryota; Metazoa; Chordata; Testudines; Cheloniidae. The record is from RefSeq and is a predicted model, not a curated record. The transcript is spliced from 2 exons.
UUCCUCUGGCCAGGAGGGAUUUUAAAGGUGUUUACCCUUCCCUUUAUAUUUAUGACACCUUCUAUUCUGUUCCCAUGUCAGCACAGAGUGAUGGACUAGUUGUUCCAGGGCAGAAGGCUGGCCGCAAACACUGCACCUUUUGCAUGACUCAGAUGUCAUUGCCAGACCAGAGUACUUGCUGUGUCUCAGAAGGACACUGCUGUGGCAGUGCACAGCUUGUGUUGCCUUAUCCCAGAGGGUAUGAAAGGAAUUGGAAUCCCUGCUUUGACUUCCUUCUUGAGGAGCCACAUAAGACAAGUAGUGUUGCUGAGGAAAACCCAGCGAAGUCUGUGCCUCAGAGUGCUUUGGCUCUUUCCAUGAAGAGGCCUAAGGGGAGAUCAAAGGAUAGAUCUGAGUCCAGUCCAACGCCUUCAGAGAAGCUCCCGAGAGCCAGGGGUCCAGUGAGCUUAGAGUUUCCAAGAUCAUAAUGAAGAAAAAAGAAGAAGAAUGGAAGUGGUAGCAGUUCAGCACAGUGCAAAUCAUCUAAUCCAAAGGAGCUGGGACAGUUAACACCUUGGUAUUAAUGCCAUUUUUUUAGAUGAUGACCAAUCUGAUUGUGGUUCUCUUCCAGGUGAAGAGAAGGACGAACUUCUUGGCAGGGAUAAUGACUCUGAGCAUCUCCUUCAACUUGAUGCAGAAGUAUUUAUAUCACCGUUAUCUCUUGUGAAUUUCAAAAGUUUUCAGAACUUCUUAUAAGGGUGCUGAAGCUUUUAAUCUGGAAAUACCAAUAGUUCUACAGAGGUCAUAUUUGCUCUUUGACAUACUGGAGAAAAAACGAAAGGGAAGAAUGGCUCGUCCAAUAAAUAUAGCUCUGCUUGAACAGUUAGAGACCUUUGGCUCAUUCUAGCAUUGUCUUGCUGUAUCCAAAAAGGAGAAGAGAACCAAUCAUGUCCAUACAAAUGGUUCUGAGUAUUUUUACAAUACUCUAACCCCAGGAUUAUUGGCGGUAUCAACAGGGAGUGAAGCAUGUUUGGUCCAAAAAGUCUUUUUGAUUUGCACCUUCUGAAAAAGACGGCAAGUGUAUUCUCAGUUAUCAAGCUCUACUUGAUAGAUAUGUUUUUAACCCUGUAUCAGUGAUGAACCUUUUUUGCAACGCAUGACAUGAAAUUACAAGGGAAAUACUCACUUUCAUGUGGCAUGCUGGAGGUGCAAAGGUCAGUGGCACUUCUGCUAUGUUAAAUUUCAGAAUAGAGCUUUUCUAUGCUCUUAUUUUUAUUUUACAGCAUCACACAUGAUGAACUCCAUACCAUUCACCAAUCAGUUCCUGAUGUCUGCCUUUAAAUUCAUUUGAGAACAAUUAUUCAGAAGAGUACAUUGAAACAAAGGUCAACAAGAACACUGUUGCUUUUUUUUCAUAGAAUGAAAAAAAUCAGACCAUUUGUUCCAAGCAUGCAAAACUUUGUUUGUGGGAAUGGAUUGAUUGUUUAAUUCAGUUCUGUUUCUUUCUUUGUUUUCUUGUUGGAACUGAGGUCAACAGCCUUGGUUUUCUUGGGGUCAUUUCCAAGGACCUCAGCCAUCUCAUUCUUAAGUCUGUCCAUAUCUACUCACUUAAGAUCUGUAAUCUUCAUAUCUGACCAUAUUUUCUAGCUAUUGAAACUCAGGAUACCGUCCUGAAAAGAUUUCUAGUGAUUUCUUGAUUGUAUUAGAAUUUGGUAUGCUACUUUGAUGUUACUACCAUUGUCCGUGGAAGUAGAUUCUUCAUAAAUAUUUCUUAUGAAUACUUCUUCAGCGAAGGAUAGGGAAGGUGAAUUUAGCAAUGCUCAAAGACAGUCUAGGACUCCUGUCAUCCUGCCAUCAGGGAUCCAACACAGAGAUCUUUAGUCUUGGCAUGUGCAAUUAUUAAAAGAUCUCUGAGAAGACUAAGCUAAAUAUUUCCUUAACGUAAUUUUUGUGCAAAUAAAUCUGCUGAAGCCACCUUUUGAGUUUUUUGCAGAAUGUUCUCCUUUCCACCAGAGCCUGGAGACAUUUUUAGAGGCAAUCACUUCUGCAAAGAAGAGUCUGAGAGAUACAAGACCUGAGGACUGGUUCCCAGUGUUUCAUAAGAAAAUGCUGUAAAUUCUUCACUAAGGCCCUGAUUCAGCAAAGCACUUAUAUAUGUGCUUAAAUCCCAUUUACUUCAUUGAGGGUUAAGCACAUGCUUAAGUACUUUGCUGAAUCAAGGCCUAUGAUGGUUUCGUAUGUUCAUUUACAACACUCUAUAAACGUGCUAAUAGUUUUUCAGAAGUCUGACAUACUACCCUGGGAGGCUAGAUUACAUGGUGUGGAUGAGGAAAGAGAGUGCAUUUGUAGAACAAACAUAUUUGCCCAUCUUGGAUACAGUCUGUGGCUUGUGGGGAUAGAUCUAAGGGAAGUCCACCUGUACUCAGAGCGAGUCUCUAAAUGAGUGAGACUGUGUAUUAAAUCUUGCUAUGGCCUUAACUCCAAACUUGAGGAUGCCGAGCCAUAUUCUGUUAGGUCUCAAGCAAAUUUUACCGCAUACUUGACAUAUGACUGUCACAGAAAUAUAUAAUGCUGAUAUUUGGAGUUCUGUUCAGUUUUUUUGCACAUUUGUUCACUUAAUUUAGUUAUUUGAUAUGAUGCCCAGUACAGAAGAGCUGUCUUGCCAUUUUUAUUUAACAAAUACUCCUCAGAACCACCUUCUUUAUAAUUUAUUACUACUUGAUAAUCUUUCAGUGCAGAUACGUCUGAAGAACUUUGGUUCUUUGAGAUAAUUGCCUAUAUAGAUCCGCAUUCCCACUCUGCUUGCUCAUGUAGUCAGAAAAGAAACUUUAUAUAUCCUCACUUCUGAGUGUCACAAGGCCUAAAAUAGAGUAUGGAGCUACAGUUUCCCCUUUGGCUGUUAGCAAUAUCAUCAGUGUUGGCGGAGAAACACAGAACCGUGAACUCGGGCUUUGGCAGGUCAGUGAAAGAGAUUUUAUUCCAAGUUGCAGUCAUUUGUAAAUUGUAAUUUAACACACAUUCUCUUACUAAUUUAGACCUUAAACAAUUACUUUCUUUUAAUCUUUUCAGCUAGCUUUCAAUACUACACAAGUCCCCCUAUGUGUACUGUUUGAGACAUGAAAAUUAUCUAUUAAAGAUGAUUGGAGGGUGAGGGAGGGAAAAUAAUUUGUGCCUUUUGUAGAUCCUGUAUGAUGUACAAAGAAUGCAUGAAAGGAAUAGCAAGUCUUGUCUUCCUUAUUUUCACAGGACUCAUUGGAAAUCUAAGAUUUGUACUGAGCUUUCUCAACACUUAAUCAAAGGACUAGGAGUGACAAUGAAGCUUUAACAAAUAAUUCUGUUCUUCUGUUUGAACUUAAUUUUUUUAAAAAUUCUUUAUUAGGGCUGUUCAAAACAUUUCCAUCAACGGUUUUCAAGGGAAAAUUGGGUUUUCAGUUAAACAAAAAAAUGUAUGGAAAGUGUCUGCCUUCCUUGAAAAUAUUUGAAUUUUUGUCCAAAACCCAAAUUUUUUGGCAGAAAACCAGAAAAUAUUUUCAGGUUUUGGCAGCUUUCAGUUGCAGAAAAAUGUUCGGUUUCUGUUGCAGAAAAUUCAGGAAAAAAUCAUUCUUAUUGAAAUGGAAAUUUCUUACACCAGUGAGGGAAUCCCAUUUUCUGACCAGUGUUAAAAUUUACAGUGUGAAUAAAAAUCUCCUGCCCUAUGAACCAGGUUUUUCCUGCUUGAUAUCGUGAUAUACUAGCUCUUCAGAGCUCCAUAGUGUCUCCCAGGAAAAGAAAGGUAGACAAGAUCUGACAUCAAGAAAAGCACCUCCAAAAAUCCUCCCUCGGAAGUGUUUCAUUGCAUGUGUUAAAAUUAAUGUUUGUUCAAGAGAGGUUCAGACAAACUUGCAUUUAAAUAACAUAGCAUAGUGACAAAAAUGAAACAUCUUGAGAAAUGACUUCAAAUUUCUUGGCUUUUGCCAGGUUUGUCAUAGCCUUGUGUUUUGGGCGGUAAUUUUUUUUUCUGUAGAAUUGUUCUUCCUAGUACACUU